GACGAACGCUGGCGGCGUGCUUAACACAUGCGAGUCGAACGGAAAGGCCCUGCUUUUGUGGGGUGCUCGAGUGGCGAACGGGUGAGUAACACGUGAGUAACCUGCCCUUGACUUUGGGAUAACUUCAGGAAACUGGGGCUAAUACCGGAUAGGAGCUCCUGCUGCAUGGUGGGGGUUGGAAAGUUUCGGCGGUUGGGGAUGGACUCGCGGCUUAUCAGCUUGUUGGUGGGGUAGUGGCUUACCAAGGCUUUGACGGGUAGCCGGCCUGAGAGCGUGACCGGCCACAUUGGGACUGAGAUACGGCCCAGACUCCUACGGGAGGCAGCAGUGGGGAAUAUUGCACAAUGGGCGGAAGCCUGAUGCAGCAACGCCGCGUGCGGGAUGACGGCCUUCGGGUUGUAAACCGCUUUCGCCUGUGACGAAGCGUGAGUGACGGUAACGGGUAAAGAAGCACCGGCUAACUACGUG
Molecule: ribosomal RNA, 468 nt
Filed under: uncultured bacterium
Lineage: Bacteria
Description: partial 16S ribosomal RNA
Rfam family: Bacterial small subunit ribosomal RNA
Source: RNAcentral